AAGUCGUAACAAGGUUUCCGUAGGUGAACCUGCGGAAGGAUCAUUAAUGAAUACUUGAGUCGCCUCGGCGCUCAAACCCUCAUUUCCAACUCUGUGCAUCUUAUCAUGUCCGUGCCGCAGUUUACUCUGCCACGGGCUCACCUUACAAAACACUAGUCAAAGAAUGUAUAAAAUUAUAAAACAAAUAAAACUUUCAACAACGGAUCUCUUGGCUCUCGCAUCGAUGAAGAACGCAGCGAAAUGUGAUAAGUAAUGUGAAUUGCAGAAUUCAGUGAAUCAUCCAAUCUUUGAACGCACCUUGCACUUCUUGGUAUUCCGAGGAGUAUGUCUGUUUGAGUGUCAUGAACUCUUCAACUGUGCAACUUUAUUGCUGCACAGCUUGGUUUCUGACGGUUGCUACUCGUAGCUCUGUCGUAAUACAUUAGCCGCCCUAGCUGAUCUCGGAUUGACUCAGUGUAAUAGACUAUUCGCUGAGGACGAGAUUGUAGGCCAGCUGCCAAUCAUGCUAGUCAUCUUUGAAAUUAGACCUCAAAUCAGAUAGGAUUACCCGCUGAACUUAAGCAUAUCAAUAAGCGGAGGAAAAGAAGCUAACAAGGAUUCCCCUAGUAACGGCGAGUGAAGCGGGAAGAGCUCAAAUUUGUAAUCUGGCUGCUUCGCAGUCCGAGUUGUAAUCUCGAGAAGUGUUUUCCGUGUCGGACCGCAUACAAGUCUGUUGGAAUACAGCGUGCUAUAGGUGACAACCCUGUUCAUGAUGCGGACUACCGAUGCUCUGUGAUACACUUUCGAAGAGUCGAGUUGUUUGGGAAUGCAGCUCAAAUUGGGUGGUAAAUUCCAUCUAAAGCUAAAUAUUGGCGAGAGACCGAUAGCGAACAAGUACCGUGAGGGAAAGAUGAAAAGCACUUUGGAAAGAGAGUUAACAGUACGUGAAAUUGUUGGAAGGGAAACGCUUCAGGUCAGACUUGCUAGUCGGAGUUCAGCCGCAAGGUGUACUCUUCGACGCGCAGGCCAGCAUCAGUUUUCGGGGGUGCAAAAUAGUUUAGGGAAGGUAGCAGUCUCGGCUGUGUUAUAGCUCUUUACAGGAUGCAUCCUUGGGGACUGAGGAACGCAGUGUGCUUCUUGCAUGGGAUUAGUCCUAUUCACACUUUGGAUGCUGGUGCAAUGGCCUGAAACGACC
This 1174-nucleotide ribosomal RNA is filed under the name uncultured fungus. Its description in RNAcentral is "eukaryotic LSU rRNA". The stretch from base 524 to 1174 matches the Rfam family "Eukaryotic large subunit ribosomal RNA", at positions 1 to 649 of the family's 3401-position model. Lineage: Eukaryota; Fungi. The record is from RNAcentral.